This 424-nucleotide ribosomal RNA is filed under the name uncultured bacterium. RNAcentral describes it as "partial 16S ribosomal RNA". It matches the Rfam family "Bacterial small subunit ribosomal RNA", at positions 360 to 776 of the family's 1533-position model. The record is from RNAcentral.
AAUCUUCCACAAUGGGCGAAAGCCUGCUGGAGCAACGCCGCGUGAGUGAAGAAGGUUUUCGGAUCGUAAAACUCUGUUGUAAGGGAAGAACAAGUACAGUAGUAACUGGCUGUACCUUGACGGUACCUACUUAGAAAGCCACGGCUAACUACGUGCCAGCAGCCGCGGUAAUACGUAGGUGGCAAGCGUUGUCCGGAAUUAUUGGGCGUAAAGCGCGAGCAGGCGGUACUUUAAGGUUGAUGUGAAAGGCCAAGGCUCAACCGUGGAGGGUCAUUGGAAACUGGGGGACUUGAGUGCAGAAGAAGAAAGUGGAAUUCCAAGUGUAGCGGUGAAAUGCGUAGGGAUUUGGAGGAACACCAGUGGCGAAGGCGACUUUCUGGUCUGUAACUGACGCUGAGGCGCGAAAGCGUGGGGAGCAAACAGG